RNAcentral lists this ribosomal RNA (503 nucleotides) under uncultured Glomus. RNAcentral describes it as "SSU rRNA". It matches the Rfam family "Eukaryotic small subunit ribosomal RNA", at positions 569 to 1074 of the family's 1831-position model. Lineage: Eukaryota; Fungi; Glomeromycota; Glomeromycetes; Glomerales; Glomeraceae. The record is from RNAcentral.
AGCAGCCGCGGUAAUUCCAGCUCCAAUAGCGUAUAUUAAAGUUGUUGCAGUUAAAAAGCUCGUAGUUGAAUUUCGGGAUCAAUAUAUUGGUCAUGCUUAGGUAUGUACUGGUAUUAUUGAUUUCUCCCUUCUGAAGAACCAUAAUGUCAUUAAUUUGAUGUCAUGGGGAAUCAGGACUGUUACUUUGAAAAAAUUAGAGUGUUUAAAGCAGGCUUUCGCUUGAAUACAUUAGCAUGGAAUAAUGAAAUAGGACGUUUGAUUCUAUUUUGUUGGUUUCUAGGAUCGACGUAAUGAUUAAUAGGGAUAGUUGGGGGCAUUAGUAUUCAAUUGUCAGAGGUGAAAUUCUUGGGUUUAUUGAAGACUAACUACUGCGAAAGCAUUUGCCAAGGAUGUUUUCAUUAAUCAAGAACGAAAGUUAGGGGAUCGAAGACGAUCAGAUACCGUCGUAGUCUUAACCAUAAAACUAUGCCGACUAGGGAUCGGAUGAUGUUAAUUUUUAAUGA